Molecule: ribosomal RNA, 303 nt
Filed under: uncultured bacterium
Lineage: Bacteria
Description: bacterial SSU rRNA
Rfam family: Bacterial small subunit ribosomal RNA
Source: RNAcentral
AACGAACGCUGGCGGCGUGCUUAAUACAUGCAAGUCGGACGUGAAAGCUCUUCGGAGUGAGUAAAGUGGCGCACGGGUGAGUAAUACAUAGGAACGUACCUUUUGGAGGGGAAUAACCACGGGAAACUGUGGCUAAUGCCGCAUGAUGUCGCAAGACCAAAGCUGGCCUCUGCUUGCAUGCUAGCACCAAAAGAUCGGCCUAUGUCCCAUUAGCUUGUUGGUGAGGUAAAGGCUCACCAAGGCUACGAUGGGUAGCUGGUCUGAGAGGAUGAUCAGCCACACUGGGACUGAGACACGGCCCAG